AUUGAACGCUGGCGGCAGGCCUAACACAUGCAAGUCGAGCGGAAACGAAGUGAGCUUGCUCCCAGGUGUCGAGCGGCGGACGGGUGAGUAACACGUGAGAAUCUGCCCAUUAGUGGGGGCCAACCCGGGGAAACCCGAGCUAAUACCGCAAAAUCCCCACGGGGGAAAGCAGGGGACGUUUUGGCCUUGCUCUGAGGGAUGAGCUAACGUCGGAUUAGCUUGUUGGGGAGGUAAAGGCUCACCAAGGCGACGAUCCGUAGCUGGUCUGAGAGGACGAGCAGCCACAUUGGGACUGAGACACGGCCCAGACUCGUACGGGAGGCAGCAGUGGGGGAUCUUGGACAAUGGGGGCAACCCUGAUCCAGCCAUGCCGCGUGUGUGAAGAAGGCCUUCGGGUUGUAAAGCACUUUCAGCAGGGAGGAAGGCUGUGGCCGAAUAGGUUGAAGUACUUGACGUUACCUGCAGAAGAAGCACCGGCUAAUUUCGUGCCAGCCGCCGCCGUAA
RNAcentral lists this ribosomal RNA (504 nucleotides) under uncultured bacterium. RNAcentral describes it as "partial 16S ribosomal RNA". It matches the Rfam family "Bacterial small subunit ribosomal RNA", at positions 29 to 523 of the family's 1533-position model. The record is from RNAcentral.